RNAcentral lists this ribosomal RNA (1435 nucleotides) under Lactiplantibacillus plantarum. Its description in RNAcentral is "bacterial SSU rRNA". It matches the Rfam family "Bacterial small subunit ribosomal RNA". The record is from RNAcentral. Lineage: Bacteria; Bacillati; Bacillota; Bacilli; Lactobacillales; Lactobacillaceae.
UGCAAGUCGAACGAACUCUGGUAUUGAUUGGUGCUUGCAUCAUGAUUUACAUUUGAGUGAGUGGCGAACUGGUGAGUAACACGUGGGAAACCUGCCCAGAAGCGGGGGAUAACACCUGGAAACAGAUGCUAAUACCGCAUAACAGCUUGGACCGCAUGGUCCGAGUUUGAAAGAUGGCUUCGGCUAUCACUUUUGGAUGGUCCCGCGGCGUAUUAGCUAGAUGGUGAGGUAACGGCUCACCAUGGCAAUGAUACGUAGCCGACCUGAGAGGGUAAUCGGCCACAUUGGGACUGAGACACGGCCCAAACUCCUACGGGAGGCAGCAGUAGGGAAUCUUCCACAAUGGACGAAAGUCUGAUGGAGCAACGCCGCGUGAGUGAAGAAGGGUUUCGGCUCGUAAAACUCUGUUGUUAAAGAAGAACAUAUCUGAGAGUAACUGUUCAGGUAUUGACGGUAUUUAACCAGAAAGCCACGGCUAACUACGUGCCAGCAGCCGCGGUAAUACGUAGGUGGCAAGCGUUGUCCGGAUUUAUUGGGCGUAAAGCGAGCGCAGGCGGUUUUUUAAGUCUGAUGUGAAAGCCUUCGGCUCAACCGAAGAAGUGCAUCGGAAACUGGGAAACUUGAGUGCAGAAGAGGACAGUGGAACUCCAUGUGUAGCGGUGAAAUGCGUAGAUAUAUGGAAGAACACCAGUGGCGAAGGCGGCUGUCUGGUCUGUAACUGACGCUGAGGCUCGAAAGUAUGGGUAGCAAACAGGAUUAGAUACCCUGGUAGUCCAUACCGUAAACGAUGAAUGCUAAGUGUUGGAGGGUUUCCGCCCUUCAGUGCUGCAGCUAACGCAUUAAGCAUUCCGCCUGGGGAGUACGGCCGCAAGGCUGAAACUCAAAGGAAUUGACGGGGGCCCGCACAAGCGGUGGAGCAUGUGGUUUAAUUCGAAGCUACGCGAAGAACCUUACCAGGUCUUGACAUACUAUGCAAAUCUAAGAGAUUAGACGUUCCCUUCGGGGACAUGGAUACAGGUGGUGCAUGGUUGUCGUCAGCUCGUGUCGUGAGAUGUUGGGUUAAGUCCCGCAACGAGCGCAACCCUUAUUAUCAGUUGCCAGCAUUAAGUUGGGCACUCUGGUGAGACUGCCGGUGACAAACCGGAGGAAGGUGGGGAUGACGUCAAAUCAUCAUGCCCCUUAUGACCUGGGCUACACACGUGCUACAAUGGAUGGUACAACGAGUUGCGAACUCGCGAGAGUAAGCUAAUCUCUUAAAGCCAUUCUCAGUUCGGAUUGUAGGCUGCAACUCGCCUACAUGAAGUCGGAAUCGCUAGUAAUCGCGGAUCAGCAUGCCGCGGUGAAUACGUUCCCGGGCCUUGUACACACCGCCCGUCACACCAUGAGAGUUUGUAACACCCAAAGUCGGUGGGGUAACCUUUUAGGAACCAGCCGC